AUUCCAGCUCCAAUAGCGUAUAUUAAAGUUGUUGCAGUUAAAACGCUCGUAGUCGGAUUUCGGGGCGGGCCGACCGGUCUGCCGAUGGGUAUGCACUGGCCGGCGCGUCCUUCCACCCGGAGACCGCGCCUACUCUUAACUGAGCGGGCGCGGGAGACGGGUCUUUUACUUUGAAAAAAUCAGAGUGUUUCAAGCAGGCAGUCGCUCUUGCAUGGAUUAGCAUGGGAUAAUGAAAUAGGACUCUGGUGCUAUUUUGUUGGUUUCUAGAACUGAAGUAAUGAUUGAUAGGGAUAGUUGGGGGUGCUAGUAUUCAGCGGCCAGAGGUGAAAUUCUUGGAUUCGCUGAAGACUAACUUAUGCGAAAGCAUUCACCAAGGAUGUCUUCAUCA
Molecule: ribosomal RNA, 388 nt
Filed under: Gephyrocapsa cf. oceanica
Lineage: Eukaryota; Haptophyta; Isochrysidales; Noelaerhabdaceae
Description: partial small subunit ribosomal RNA
Rfam family: Eukaryotic small subunit ribosomal RNA
Source: RNAcentral